GUGGGGAAUUUUGGACAAUGGGCGCAAGCCUGAUCCAGCAAUGCCGCGUGCAGGAAGAAGGCCUUCGGGUUGUAAACUGCUUUUGUACGGAACGAAACGGUCCGGGUUAAUACCCUGGGCUAAUGACGGUACCGUAAGAAUAAGCACCGGCUAACUACGUGCCAGCAGCCGCGGUAAUACGUAGGGUGCAAGCGUUAAUCGGAAUUACUGGGCGUAAAGCGUUCGCAGGCGGUUUUGUAAGACAGGCGUGAAAUCCCCGGGCUCAACCUGGGAAUUGCGCUUGUGACUGCAAGGCUGGAGUGCGGCAGAGGGGGAUGGAAUUCCGCGUGUAGCAGUGAAAUGCGUAGAUAUGCGGAGGAACACCGAUGGCGAAGGCAAUCCCCUGGGCCUGCACUGACGCUCAUGCACGAAAGCGUGGGGAGCAAACAGGAUUAGAAACCCGUGUAGUCC
Molecule: ribosomal RNA, 450 nt
Filed under: uncultured bacterium
Lineage: Bacteria
Description: partial 16S ribosomal RNA
Rfam family: Bacterial small subunit ribosomal RNA
Source: RNAcentral